GCCAGGUGCGGUGGCGUGUGCCCUAUAGUCCCAGCUACUCAGGAGGCUGAGGUGGGAGGAUCGCUUGAGCCCAGGAGCUCUGGGCUGCAGUGCGCUAUGUCGAUCGAGUGUCUGCACUAAGUUCGGCAUCAAUAUGGUGACCUCCCGGGAGCGGGGGACCACCAGGUUGCCUAAGUAGGGGUGAACAAGCCCAGGUCGGAAACGGAGCAGGUCAAAACUCCUGUGCUGAUCAGUAGUGGGAUUGCGCCUGUGAACAGCCACUGCACUCCAGCCUGGGCAACAUAGUGAGACCCCAUCUCU
This 300-nucleotide signal recognition particle RNA is filed under the name Aotus nancymaae (Ma's night monkey). RNAcentral's name for it is "Metazoan signal recognition particle RNA (ENSANAG00000007678.1)". It matches the Rfam family "Metazoan signal recognition particle RNA". From Rfam's summary of the family: The signal recognition particle (SRP) is a universally conserved ribonucleoprotein. It is involved in the co-translational targeting of proteins to membranes. The eukaryotic SRP consists of a 300-nucleotide 7S RNA and six proteins: SRPs 72, 68, 54, 19, 14, and 9. Lineage: Eukaryota; Metazoa; Chordata; Mammalia; Primates; Aotidae. The record is from RNAcentral.